GGUGGUCGCCUGGGUCCCCCUCGGCCCCGAUGGGCUGAGCGGGGCGGGCCGGGGUCACCUGGGCCCCCCCUCGGCCCCGAUGGGCUGAGCGGGGCGGGCCGGGGUCACCUGGGCCCCCCCCUUGGUCCUGAUGGGCUGAGUCGGGCGGGCCGGGGUCCUCCUGGGUCCCCCUGGGCCCUGGUGGGCUGAGCCGGGCGGGCCGGGGUCACCUGGGUCCCCCUGGGCCCCGAUGGGCUGAGCAGGGCGGGCCGGGGUCACCUGGGCCGCCCCCCCCCCCGGGCCCUGAUGGGCUGAGUCGGGCGGGCCGGGGUCCUCCUGGGUCCCCCUGGGCCCUGAUGGGCUGAGCGGGGCGGGCCGGGGUCACCUGGGUCCCCCUCGGCCCUGAUGGGCUGAGCGGGGUGGGCUAGGGUCUGCCUGGGACAGCCAUGAGGAAAAGAAGAAAGGUCCCCUUUAAACUGGUACAGGUGGUGAAAAAGCUUUGCUGGUGGAAGAGGAGGGGAGAGCAAGGGUCCCCGAUAUGCUAGGUGCUUCGGAUGUGCUCACCUAUGUUUACUGUGUUCAUUUAAUUGCAGGAAACGCGGGGAACGUGGUCCUCCAGGAUCCCCCUGAGAGCAUCCCCAUGGCACACUCUCCAGGGGCAGACACUAACAGAUCAGGGACUUGGAUGAGGAAGACCUGUCAUCUGAUGACUUCCAGUGCAAUGUUGAAUAGGAGUGGCAAGAGCAGACACCCUUGUCUUAUUCCUGGUCUUGGAAAGCUUUGAACCUCUCACCAUUGAGUAUGAUGUUAGCUGUGGGUUUGUCAUAGAUGCCCUUUAUUAUGGUCACUUUUCUUCACUGGAAGCUUUUACAACCUUCUCAGCCAUGAGUGACUCGCAGAUUCAUCAUGAUGUGCCUAAGCAUGGAUGCUUUUCAUUUAUGUGCUCAGGGAUUCAGUGGGGAUUCUCAGGGAUUAUGUCAACAAAGAUGGCGUUAGCCCCAUUCCUUCUCUUUCUCUUGGAGUUCAGCGAGAUUAAUGAUAGGCCUGCUCAUUUUAUUCUCCAUUUUUCUUAACUUUCUUUCAUAUUUUCUCUUUUCCUCUGUACUGCAUCUUGGAUAGUUAUUGUAAGAUUCAUUUUGGAAUUCAUCAACUUUAUCUUCUGCCGUGACUUUAGUUAAACCUAUCCACUGAGUUUAAUAAUUCAAUUAUAUUUUAUCUUUAUAAUUUGGUUCUUUUUCAAAUCUAGUUGGUAAACUUUUCCAGCUUUUUAAUGACAAAAUUAUCCAACAUACAAAAUAAUUGAAAAAAUAGUAUAAUGAACUCCUAUAUUCCAAAACUUAGAUUCAACAGUCUUAAUAUUUUUGUCAUGUUUGCUUUAUCUAUUUAUUUUCCUGUUGCCUUUUGUUUUUCUGUGGGUGUGGGUUUUGUUUCUUGUUAUUUUGUUUUUGCCAAGCUAUUUGAAAUAAGCUGCAAACAUCACGCUUUACCCCUAACUACGUCAGCAUGAAUCUCUUAAGAAUACGUGCCUUUCCCUACAUAUCCAUGAUAUCGUUACUAUACCUAAGAAAAGUAUCAAUAAUCUCCUAAUAUAUUUAAUAUCUAGUCCAUAUUCAAAUACUCCCAAUUGUCUCUAAAGAUUCUUACUUUCCCAAUCAGGAUCCAAUAAGGACUCAUGACUUAAAUUCUUAUUGGCUCAUUUUAUUUUAACAGCUUUGUUGAAAUAUAAUUGAUAUACAACAAACACAUAUUUAAGGGUGAAGUUUGAUCAGUUUUGACACGUGUAUACAAAUGUGAAGCCAUCAAUACAAUCAAGAUUCGGGUCCAGAUUCAUUCACCCCGAGUGCACUCAGGCCAUUACAGGCCUCUCUGGUGGCCUGUUCUACUGUUGCCUGCAGCCGUGAUCUGCCUCCUACUUGACCUUGUCCCUGUGCUGGUGGAGCGUCUGAGAGGGAAGAAGUGUUGUUGGAAUUACACAAGAGAUGAAGGAGAAAACACACUCUUCAUUUGGCUGUUAGUAGUAUCAAUUGGUGGAUGGAUAAUACAUAACUUAGAACAAACUGGAAAGAAACAUAAACAUCAAGAACAAGACUCCAGAUGCUGGGAUAAAUUAGCAAACAAGCAGCCAUGCCCCUGCUACCGAGCAGCUGACAUUCUGUGGAUGGAGACUGAAGAGAAGCAAGCAACCAGACAGAAGCUUGUUCUUGUUCAUAGAAAAUAAUUUCCAGGAACAACAGAUCACAACCAAGUCUAUAGAUAAGCAUCUGAAUUACAGAAUUUGAAAGUCAGAAGGAGCCCUAGAGAUUAUGUGGUCCAGUCUCCUCACGUUGCAGACAAGGCCACAGACCCAGAAGGACGGCGCUUCAAGACUCAAUUAUUUAAUCCUGAGAGCGCCCCAUGACAUUUUAGCUGCAUAAAAUUAGUCACAGUGACAUUACAUCCCGAUCCAGGAGCCCUCGGAUAGCGGCACUGCGCUCCCUCUGAAUGGCUGGAAUGACAGGACACCUUGGCAGACAACCAUGAUUUUUCUUCCCCUGACUUCAUCCUCCGCAUGACCUUUGUCAACAUGUCGACUUCCCUGGAGAACCCUGCUUAAACAUGGCAGAUCAGAUGCGUAGGAUAUUCUGGUAUCCUCCUGAGGUUGUGCCAAAAUGACGGCAAGGGAAAAACAGUUACUAAUGCCUAAGAAAAAAGGCAAACAAACAGAAGUGAUAAAUUGGGGAGUUUGGGGAGAUGGAGAGUAGAUGGACAUGCGGCACAUGACUUAGCAACUGGGGGAAGCUCAUGCCACAUUAGCUUCACGGGAGCCAACCAGAGGCGAGCUGAGGUGUGAACACCUUGGGAUCUUCCUGCUGCCCCUGGAAGGAGGCUUUAAAGGGAAAACCUGCAAGCAGUCUUGGUGUCUGCAGGAACUCCCAGUUCUGCUUCCUCAGCCUGCAUGUGCUGGCGACUACUCAACCCAACACACCCAACCCAUACCAGAGACUGGAGAAACCUGUUCAGGAAGGCUCUGGUCCCAGGGAUGCUAGGGACAGCUGAGGGCAAGGGGGAGGAGGCACCCUGCCAGGAGAUCUGCCCACUGCUCCCUUUUGUAAAUAAAUUGGAACAUAGCCCUUCACAUUCAUUUUCGUGUUGUCUGUGGCUUCAUUCGUGUUACAACACACCACAACAGCAGAGUGAGGGUGGAGGGGUGGCAACAGACACUAUAUAUCCUCCACAGCCUAAAACAUGUGCUAUCUGCUCCCUUACAGAAAAUGUCUGCUGACUGCUACUCUAGAGUGAGGACCACCAGGCAACUACAGGGCUCCCCAUCAGCUUUAACUCACUCUCGAAUAGUGACUUAUGCAUGCUAAUGUGGACAAGUAAACACUGACACACAUUUGGGGAGAUAUUCCAGCAUGGAAAACAGAGACAAAACAAACAGAGCAGAAGAACUCAGGGAAAAGAAAAGACAGUGCAGGGAGCAAAAGAACACUUUGAAAAUAUUUCUAUCCUUAACGUCCUUGCAGAGGAUGUUUUUUCAAAUCCAGGAAGCUUUUGUUGGGGUUUUAAAAUGGCCAUCAUGACAAUUAAACUUCCCAGUGAACCAGGGUUCCCCGAAGUUGGUGGUUGGAUGAUCCCACCUGGGGACAGAAGUGAGCAACACUUGCAGGAUGAAGCAGAGGACAGCCAUUUUCCUUCUGUCCUUGAACGUGGAGAAGCAGCAGAGGCAAAGCUUCAAACACCUGGCCAUGGACUGGAGAGAAGAAUGUCAGAAAACAUGGCCCGUGGGGGGUGUUGGAAUAUAGAAGGGUCACCCGGAUCCUCCAGCCUGUCCACUCUGCUGUUCUGAAAGGUCACUUCUAAGCUGCUGGUCUCCAUUGGGUAACCAUCUUUCAUAGGAUUUUGAUUUUAUUUAUUUAUUUGUUUAUUUAUUUAUUUAAGGUGUGGAGGGGCAGAGGGAGAAAGAUAAUCUUUUUUUUUUUU
This is a long non-coding RNA of Canis lupus familiaris (dog), 3942 nucleotides long. RefSeq lists it as uncharacterized. The record is from RefSeq and is a predicted model, not a curated record. NCBI's taxonomy places the organism in Eukaryota, Metazoa, Chordata, Mammalia, Carnivora, Canidae. The transcript is spliced from 10 exons.